GGCUGUGUGGUCUAGUGGUAUGAUUCUCGCAUCGGGUGCGAGAGGUCUCGAGUUCGAUUUUCGACUCAGUCC
RNAcentral lists this transfer RNA (72 nucleotides) under Perkinsus olseni. RNAcentral's name for it is "tRNA-Pro". It matches the Rfam family "tRNA". Rfam says of the family: Transfer RNA (tRNA) molecules are approximately 80 nucleotides in length. Their secondary structure includes four short double-helical elements and three loops (D, anti-codon, and T loops). Lineage: Eukaryota; Perkinsozoa; Perkinsida; Perkinsidae. The record is from RNAcentral.